Molecule: long non-coding RNA, 11733 nt
Filed under: Homo sapiens (human)
Lineage: Eukaryota; Metazoa; Chordata; Mammalia; Primates; Hominidae
Description: HSALNT0136839
Source: RNAcentral
AAGUCACUUUCCUUCUAUCCAUAAAUCUUCCACCAUGUGGCUGUGCUGGAGUCUCUCUGAGCCUACUCUGGCUUGGAAGACUGCCUGAUUUGCUAAUCAUUCUUUGCUCAAAUUAAACUCUGUUAAAUUUAGUUAGUCCAGGGUUUUUUUUUUGUUUGUUUUUUUAAAAUCAAAUCUUCAGUGACUCUUUAUGGUGGUCAAUUAUGGCCAGGAUGGAUAGGAGACUACCAUGCAGAAAAGUAUGAGAGAGACUUGAAAACCAUGCAGUGAUCUUUAAAACCCUCUGAAUAUGUAUUUUCAAAUGCUGCUUUCAUAAGUCAUUAACCAUAAUUUAUUGAAUGUGUACUAUGUGUAUGGCAUUGUACUAGAUCCUUUAUAAACCAUAUAGAAUUUUUAUAGUAACCUUGAAAAGUAUGUGUUAUUAUAUCCACUGUACAUAUUGGGGGGACUGGAGGCUUAGAAAGUGGAAGUCGAGGCUUGCACACACUUAUUAUGAAAGGCCAGCUGGCAUGAUAGUGGUUCACCCUGAACAGCAGAUGGAACUGAUAACAGGCCCAUUAAAUUAUGGGCCAAAUAGUUUGCAACCUUAAGAAAUCCCUGUGAAAUGUUCAUAGAAUAUUAACUUCUUAUCUUAUCAAAGAAAAUUUUAACCCAUUGAAAUAUAAGAUUUGUGUUAGGGUCUGAAUGGCCAACCAUUUUUUUUUUUCUGUAUGUGUUUGAGAAUAAUGUGUUUUGCAAUUUUUACAUGCAGUAUUUUAUAUAAGCUUAUGGUACAGCUUGUUUAUUGUAUAAUUUAAAACUUCCUUGUCCUUACUAACUUUUGUCUGUUUAUUCUAUUGCUAAAAGUGGUAUAGUAAAUACACUACAAUAAUGCAUUUGUCAAUUUAUCUUUAGUUAUGUCACUUUCUGCUUCAUAUAUUUUGAGACCAUGUUAUUAGGUACAUAAAAUAUAAUAAUUAUAUUUUUUUCUGGCAAACUGAAGCUUAUUAUAAAUGACCCUCUUUGUUGCGAGUAAUGCCUUUUGCAUUUACAACUGAUGGAGACAGGACGCAGCCAAAAGUCCCUGGUGAAACCCCGCCUUCAAGCCUAAAACAGCCUGAAGGAUGAAAAACCAGACUUCUGGUGCCUGAUGAAGCCUGCCCUUUCCUGACUGAUUCUAAAUAAUGCCUACCUGCCAACUGGGAAGGCAGGGUGGAGCCUUCGGAAAUUCAUGACCUUCGCAGGGGAGAGGAGCUUGGCCUCUCCUAUUCCUGUGUGGUGACCUGGGAUUCAAACUGUGAGGCGGAAAACCUGCUAGCAGGAGUCUCGCUUUGCUGAGAGUUAUUUUUCUUUUCCUUUUUAUCCAAUAAAUUCCGUCUUCUCACGCUUCUAUGUGUCUGUGACCCUACUCUUUCCUGGUCGUGUGACAAGAGCCUGGUUUUAGCUGACCUAAGAAGAAAGUUCUGCAACAUUUUUGGUGUCCAGACGUGAGUCUUGAGGAAGGACAAGUACAGACAAUCACCAGGAACUAAGGAACAAGAAGCAUCCAACCCUGCAUCUGUGGGUUUCCUGAGGUGACUCUCAAUUGUCAUAGGGGUGAAGAGUGAGUGAGGAAACCCUUGGAGCACUUGUUUGCUUCACAGACAUCCUGACCUCCUUUCAACUGUAAAGACUUAGUCAGAGGACGGCGGCUCCCUCAGCCUCAUUCUGCAGUUCCAAUGACACUUUUUACAAAGGCUCUGUACUUGUCUGAUUCUUAAAUAUUCCAGUUUUUGAACUUUGCUGCAGUAGUUGUAUUCGAAAUGGGUUAAUUGUCUCAUUUUCUUUUUAAUGCCUACUCUUUCAAGGCUCAAAUCUUGAAUAGGUCAAAAAGAGCAAGAGGAAAAUGUCAGAGAAUGGAGAAAGGCAAAUACAGAGAAGCAGUGUGAACAUCCACCCGGCGAGGUGACCUGAUGGUGCUGCUCCAUGUCAGAGACAGUAGUGUCUGGGAAGAGGGAGCCCUUUCCACAGGGUGGAGCAAAAGGCCUGGAGCUGACACCUGGCUCCUGGGCCCACUCGCCCACCACCUCGAGCAACUCCCUUCCUUAACGUCUGCCCGAGUGUUAAGGGCUGAGCACAUGACCUCACAGGAGGAUGUGAGGGGCAGCGGUAACAUGUGUCUAGCACUUUGUCCCUUAUAAGUCACUCACAAAUACUUAUAUCCUUAUUAUCUUCAUCCUUUUCUCUUGAGUUUUUCUCUAAUUCUUUAAGAAGGAAACACGUAGCCAGGAAGUGGAGAGCCUCUCACAUACUUGGGGAGUUUUCAUAUUUCCCCCAUCAGUUCCUUUUCUGGCCUGAGCUCAUGCUCCCUAAGAUCAGGGCUUGGGCUUUGUUUUAGUCUGUGUUGUUAUAAAAGAAUAUCCAACAGUGUGUAAUUUAUAAAGAAAAGAGGUUGACUUGGCUCAUGGUUCUGCAGGCUGUACAGGAACAAGCUUGGCUCCAGCAUCUGCUUGGCUUCUAGGGAGGCCUCAGGAAGCCUUUACUCAUGGGGGAAGGCAAAGGGGAGCAGGCAUUAUGUGAGAGGAAGGAAGAGAGAGGCAGGGGAGGUGCCAGGCCCUUUUAAACAAUCAGCGCCCAUGGGAAAUAACAGAGCCAGAACUCACUCAUUAACUUCAGAAUGGCACCAAGCCAGUCAUAAGGAUCCACCUCCAUGACCCAGACACCUGCCACCAGGCCACGCCCAGUAUCAGGGAUCACAUUUUAACGUGAGACUCGGAGGGGACAAACAUCCAAAUCACAUCUGGCCCCAUAACCUUUGGAGACCUCAGCUCUGGCGCUAGGGUGGUAGGUCCCCUAAGGGUUCGUGCUCUCUGAAGGAAUUGGGUUACAUUACCUGGGAGAGCUUUCUGGAGGAAGUGAGCUUUGCUUCUCACAGGUUUCUAUAAGGAGAAGGAUGGGCUGUUGGAAAGGGAGUGAGUGUGUGUCCAAGUGAGGGAAAGUGAGGUUCAGCAUCUUGGUGCUCUUGGCUCAGCUUCCCUUUCUAUGCCAUGCACAGUGCCUCCAGGAUGCCAGGGGGUGCCAUCCCUGACCUGUUCUGGGGUGGGUGUGCAAGAUGCGAAAUGGCUAAUUUCAGUUCACUGGUAACUCUAACAUUUGGAUAAUAAUUGGCCAUAGCAUUAGCUUUGGUUAUACAUCUCCAAAUGUGUUAUUACAUUAUAUAUAUAUAUAUAUAUAUAUAUAUAUAUAUAUAUAUAUGCACACACACACGUAUACAUAUAUACACACAUCUACACUGUAUUGAUAUGUUGAUAUAUUGAUGUUAUGAAUUAUUUUAAAGAGUAUUCUAUUGAUGUAGAGGAUAAUAUGAAAUUCAAUAUUUUCUGGCACUCUUUUUAAAUGAUACUUAGGCCAUCUGAUGAAAACAGAGCUCAGUAAAGAUUUCUUAUUGAUAAAUCAACAUUACAAAUGAAGACUAGUUUCAUUGCCAUGAUCAGUAAAUUAAGGGUCAUAAAUUAACUGUUGAGUUAUUUUCUUUGCACUAUUAAGCCUUCCACUCAAUCUUUCUACAGUCUUUCUUAUUUAGCAAACGGUGUUACUUGAUAGAAACCUCUGCUGUGAUUUUGUUUUUUGAAAUUUAAUAAGAAAGCUAUAUAAUACAAUUCUCGGGGGAAAACAAGCAAGGUAGGUUUUUCACGGUAACCUCCAAGCAGAGAAAUGGUUUCAGUGCGCAGUCCAGUGAAUUUCCUCCAUAGAGUGUGCUGGAAGAAGUCACCUGGAAGUGAUCACCAGAGUGAUAUUCAGUUUGACUCUCAUUGGUUUGUAUAUAAUUGAUUAUAUAUAAAAACAAAUGCCAGGGUGAGGGUGGGACUAGAGUCCCCCUUUCAGGCUCCUCCCCUUGCAUUUCCAUCUGGUCUUGCAGCAAGUUAACCACGGUCCUAUCUUCAGGUUCAAUUACUCCCUUUAAAAAAUAGGUUUUAACACCUAUGUAUCUCUCAACAUUAUAUUGUUUUAUUUUGAAAAAUUGAAUAAUAACCACACACCUAGCUUUGGAAGCAAGAGGCUUCAUGGCCAGGAUCAGAUAAAUGAUCCUCUUAGAGUGGGUGGGACCUCAGCAUCCCAGAGCGUGUGGAAGAGUGCCUGCCAGGAAGCCACCAGACAAGGUCCUAAGUACAUGCAUGGAAACACUGGGCACGAUGCUGACUGUGGCAUGGGCCAAAAAGUGACAUGGGGCAGAACUUCAGUGGGAGGAGGGGUGCUCUGUACGUUCAGCUUCUAAGCCCACUGUGGCCUUCCUCUUAGGGUUUCACAGAGCCAAGCAGAAAAGGAGCACAGGUGACCUUGGCAGGAAGGCAUGCAUGGGAGAGCAGGUCUGCACUCUGGGACACCAGCCUCAACAGAAUACGAGUUUUGAAUUUUUGAAUUGCUGUUAAAACUUUCAUCAUGAACACUGAAGUGAGUGAAAAGAGACUUUUGCAGUCAUUUUUUUGGACAGAGAUCAUGGAAGUUGGGCCCGACUGGAUGAGAUUUGGGGGUCUUUGGAAGUGGAGAAUGUGUUUGCCCUGGGGAAGAGAGGUGAUGUCUAGGAGACCUCUUCACUCAGGGCAAGCUCUAUGACCUGCUUUGACUCCAGAAUGUGGUAGAAGUGGCAUCACAUAAAUUGCAGAGCCUAGGCUUCAAGAGACCUUGCAACUUGCCUCUCACUGACUUGAAGUGCUCCCAUCAGAGCAUCUUGUAAGGAGCAGGUGGAGCAUGUGGACAAGCCAUCCCCACCAGCCCCUGAGACAUGUGAGAGAGGCCAGAACAGGCCAUCCGGACCCCACUGUGCUGGUGGAUGAGACAGCAGAAGGAAUAUCAACCUACCAACAGAAUCCUGAGAAAUGCUCACUCUUACUUCAAGCUGCUGCAUUUUGAUGUUAUGAAACCAUAAAUAACUUAUGAAGUCAUCUUUGCUGACUUAAAGUUUUCCAUAACUUUAUUAUAACAUAUCAAAAUUAUGAAAAAUGUGAAAAGUAGAAAACUGAUGAAUUUUGCUUCUUCAUAUGGUCUUUAAGAAUCUCAAAGGCACUGAAGUUUUUUAUCUUUUCUGUCUUAGAAUAAAAAACCUUGAAUGAAAAUCUGCUUCUUGGAAAAGCAGCAAGGUUUAUGCAGAGGCAAUCUGGUAUUUGUGUGCACUGGCAGCUGAUCAUACCCAGCAUGCACGCACUCUCAGGGCAGAGUCUGAUGCCCCACAUAAUGGGGCAUGGUAAGGACUCCCAUGUCCUUGAGAUAAAAUGAUAAGGAAAAUACACACUGCUAUUAGAAUAACAGGCCCAGCUUCUGCACAUUUUAAUUCCCAAAGUUUUCAUGAAAGACAAUGAUUUUUUGGUACCAUGUUUAACUCUACAAGAAUCAGUAGUGAAAACUAAAAAUGAUACUUUGUGAAAGUUCAUUAAUUUUGUUUUCAGCCAGUGGUGGCCUUGGUCAGAUAGAAUCAAAUCUAUGAUACUUUUUAUCAGAAAUGCUUAUACUGUGUACAAACCCAAAGUGAUGGCUUUCAAAGAUUGAAUUUGAUUAUUUUCUGUAUGGUGCAGAUGAAAAAUUACUACACAGGAGAAGGUGGGUUGGAGGUGCUCACGAGUAACCAGGAAACAGUCUGAAGUUUUUCUGAUACUUCUCCUUGGUCCAACCAAAUGUGAGAUAUAAACACAAACUUGGGAUUCCGUUCUUAUGUUUUGGUUGUUUCAGUCUUUACAGAUGUAUCGAAAGGCUGUCCAAAAAUGUCUGACUUCUGUAGUGUGCCUUCGUAGCACUAGAGGGUUCUGCAGCUGUGAAACUGAAGGCAUUGGCAAGAAGCCCUCCAUCUUCAAACCACUUUCUGCUAAGGUGUGGCUCUAUAAAACCACUAUGAGCUGGGCUUCACUGAGACUGAGUUGUUUCAGUAGGAUCUUCCGGAAAAACAUGUUCCCUCCUUUACCUGGGUUGUCAUUCUGAGAACAAUCACACCUCCAAUUUUGGCUUACUAAGCAAUAGCGUUUUAAUGAUUUUAAGCCAGGAUUUGCUCCUCCUUUCCUCAGUAUGAGAGCUUAACCACUGGAGGAACCAAGAAUUCAUGCUGGUUGGGUUCUGAUUCCACUUUAACUUACUGUAUAGCCUCAUCCCUUGUUUUUCUGGAGAUUCUCUUUUUCUGCUUCACUGAUUUAUAUUUACAUUAAAAUCAAAUGAGGCCAUGUUUCUGAAAUCACAUUGUCCCUACAUGGUCAUUACAAUGAGUCUGUAAUGUGACUGAAAGACAGCCAUGGAUACAGGUAGAGGAUAUCAGGCAAUUGAAUGCUCAUCAAGCAUUCAAUUCAGGGCAAAUGGCAUAAGGUAUGCAGUUGGCCUCUUCUGAUAUCUGUGUCUUAAUCCUUUCUUUAGCCUCUGUUUUCUGGACCAAGGCUAAGAUAUUUUCUGGGCACAGUGGCUCAUGCCUAUAAUCCCAGCACUCUGGGAGGCCAAGGUGGGAGGAUUUCUUCAGCCCAGGAGUUCGAGACCAGCCUGGGGAACAUAGGAGACCUCAUUCCUACAAAUAAUAAAAAAAAUUAGCCAGCUCUGGUGGCGUGUGCUUAUUGGUCUCAGCUACUUGGGAGGCUGAGGUGGGAGGACUGCUUGAGCCCAGAAGAUCGCAGCUGCAUUGAGCCAUGAUUGUGCCACUGAACCCUAGCCUGAGCAACAGAGCAAGGCCUUAUCUCAAAAAAAAAAAAAAAUUCUGAGCCUUCUAAUUUUUUUUUUCUUUAAUUAACUUUCUGUAAGCCCAGCAAGUAAAUAAAACACUUAUUUUAUGAAGCAUCUAGUUGCUUUUAGGGGAAGGGACAUCCUCCGCAUAGUAUCUAGGCCAGCUCACUUUCUUCUCCUUACUGUUGAUUUACUCUCUGCCAUUGAAUCUUCUGUGCCAAUGUUGGAUUAAUGUUUCCGGGCCCUACUUUCAUCAUGCUCCUCUGUAUUAUCACCUGUUUUGGUUUACAGCAAUGAUUUUUAAGGUAAGGCAUGGUGUGUCCAUCAUAGUCACAUGGGAACUUUUUCAAGCCAUAUUAAAAAUGUCCCCCAUUCAUCAUUCUGCCCCUGGAACAGUGUGUGCAGUUGGGACCUUCAAGUAAAUCUACUUUGUUGAAACCCACUGAUCAGCAUGGUGUAUUUCAUAACUCUUUGACUUACAUUCAAGAAAUUCCUUAACCUGAACUCCAUUUUACUCUUUUUUUCAUUCAUUCAAAUUAAGAAUAUUGCCUGAACAUGAAUUAUCUGCUAGACGUUUUUCUAGGUGCAGGAGGAGUAAGGAUGAACAUAACUAGCCAUAACUAUAGCUAUCAAUUGUGGAGUGUCUGUUAUGUGCCAGGCACUUUUAAGUGACCUACUCGAUUUACUUGCAUGACAAACUGUGAGGAAAAGCCCAAUAUUAUCCCCUAUUAACAGAUGAGGAAACUGAAGCACAAACAGCAUGAAUAGUUUGUUCCAGAUUGCAUCAUAAGAGGCACAGCCAGCUUUCCUACCAAAGCAGCCCUGGCCCAGAGUCCGUACUCCCUCCUCCCCUGCCUCUGCCUGGUGGAUAAGGUCACCCUGGCCUUGUGGAACUUAUGCUCUAGUGGGGACAAAUAGUUAUAGAGAAUGACCGAUGUUACUAAGAAAAUAAAAGCUGGUAAGAAAACAGAAGCACUGAGGAGGUGACUGAAGUGAGCAUUUAUAAUUUUAUGUUAUAUCCAUUGUAAAAUAUAAGUUUAGCUUUCUCAUACCAGAAGCAGGGCUCAGUCCACCCUUGACUCAGUUUCCAAUACUGUUCCCCAUCAGAAUGGCUCUUGCUGGUGGCCAGAAGUAAAACUUAGAAAUAUCUCUCUCAGAGACACCUAAGCAGGCUGGGCUCCCCGGUUUCCUGUUGCUUCCUUUAAAGAAGCUCUUCAGACAUCUGCACAAGAACUCAAAGUGACCACCUCUCAGCCCAGCAUGACCUACUGGAACUAAUGCCUGCUUGCUUUCAACCUACCAAUUAAAGCUCCCCAGGAAACCUGUUUAGAUAACACCCUGGACCCAAGAAAGGUGCUGGGCCAUGGGUUUCUUCUCUCUCUCCCUAUCUGUGCUCCCUGACCCCCUGUGUGUGUGUGGUCUCUAGGCUUGCCUUCUAUCCCUGAGGGUCUGUAAAUACUAAAAACACUUAAACUUUCAUAUUGUAGUUGUGUCUUUGAAGCCAGGUCCCCAUCCCGUACCUUGAGGGCAAGGCCUCCUGGAAGGGACCCAUGUAGGUGGAUCCCCUGCUGUCCAGGCCUCUUAGCUGCUGGGGUAGUGACCAGUUAAGUGGAUAGAGUUUCAUUCAAAACAAUAAUCAUUCAACUGUAUCUCACAUCAAACCUCUGCUCUAGUUUAUGUAUCUACUUUAUGUUCUUAGAAGACUGUGCAAACACAUUGUCUUUUUUGAGUACCUGUCUUGUCCUAGGUACUCUGCUUGGUACGGGGAGAGACGAAUCUUCUGUCUUCAGGGGCUUCCACUCCAGCAGGGAGAACAUGACUAAUAGUGACUGCCUGCUGCUGUAGGUAAUAAGUGGCUCCCACUAGGCCCUCCAUUUGGUGGCCCCCUGUCCCUCUCACUGGUGGAAGCCUACCUGUCCUCUAAGGACCAGCUCACUAAUGUCCUAGAUCCUCACGGACCAGAUUGCUUUUCUCAGAACUGAAGAGCACUUACUAAUGGCACCUCUUGUCAUAUGCCAUCCCAGGAUUUGAAUUUUUUUUUUUUUUCUGUCUUGUGGCCCAAAUAAAUCCUGAACUCCUCGAGGGCUGGGAGUGUAUCUAGCAGUUUCCUUAUACUGGACUAAUCAGAUGCUGACUAGGUAGCAGUGAGAAAAAUCUAGAAAUUCCCUUUUAGCCACAUCGACUUACACGAGGGGAUGUGUGUAAGGUACUAUAGCUCUUUAAACAAGAGGUGGUCUCGUUUGAAGGGUGGAUUGAUGUGGGUGUUCAAAUGAUGUCACAAGUGGCUGGUUUCUCUGUCUCCAUUUCUUUUUUUUUUGGCUCCAUUUCCAAAUUUCCCAGAUAGCACAGCAAGUUGGCCCCAGCAGCUCUAGACACUCCAUCUUCUCAGGGCAUAGCCAACACAAUAAAAUAUUUCAAGUUCCUGAAAGAUAGCUGAAAUAAGCCCUAGAAGUUUCUGGAUUGGGAGCAGAGCCAAACCUGCCAGCUCACAUAGAUGAGGGCAGGGAAUAGGGUGUCUCACGAUCACAGUGUCCUGCCUUCUGAUUUGCCUGGGACUGUCCUGUUUUGGCACCAAAAAUAUCUGCAUCCUAGGAAACCCUCAGGUCCUGGGCAAAUUCAGACAGUGACUUGCCCUAUCAGAAGCAAAGCAAGGUGCCAUUACCUGAGGUGGGCAAAUUCAGACAGUGACUUGCCCUAUCAGAAGCAAAGCAAGGUUGCCAUUACCUGAGGUGGGCAAAUGGAGGCUGGGUGGCCAGUGAGUGACCAAUAACCCCAGCAUUGGAGAGAGUGGAGCAGCCCUUCAAGAAGUUCCAACCUCUGCCCAGGACUGGUUUUACCAACUUCACUAGGCUUAGAAUCGUAGGAAGUCUAUUUGGGACUUGCGAGUCUCACGUAUUCCUGCCUAAAUGUUUAUGGAUACCUGUUUAGAGCUGAAAUCUUUUCAGCUCCCAUAAUAUGAGGGAAUUAGGUCUCAAAGAAGAUCAUGUAUUUUGAUCAGACCUUAUAGCUGAGCAGUGGAAAGAAAAAAAAUCAGUGUGAGAUCUCCCAGGGUUCCGCAGGAGUGGCUUCCUUAGUCCAACUGGCAGCCUAUCCUGGAAUAUUGCCUGGGAGAGAGGUUAGUUGCUUUUCCUGGUGCUAGGAACUGAAUGGUUUUACAUAUUGAUCAAUGAAAAUACUUAUUUGGCCUACAAUAGGUGCAAAAAUACUGCUAAUUACUAACAGUAUCUCUUCUUUGCUGCGUGCCAGACACUCCACUGGGCAUUAUGCAGUUAAUAUGUACCAUGAAUUUCCCGUGGUUAGCAAUGAUGUCAGGCAUAGAAAAGACAUGAAAUUAUGAUGUCAAAUGAAUAAACUGGAAAAAGGAAUUUCUUGAAUUUUCUCCAGCUGUCCUAAGAAUGUAUCUAUACUUUGAUCCUGGCCUACCUUUUCAACAUCUAAACUUUAUUCCCCCAAGCUUCUAGAUAUUCAAAGUUAAGUAUUAAAUAAAAUCAGUAAAUAUAUACAAGCUUGUUUGGCCAUUCUGAAUAAGGUUAUAUUUCCACCACACAAUCUCCAAAUUCUCUAGCAGAAGGGAUCAGUAUGUUAUAGAUACCCCCUUUCCUUCCCUCCCUGGCAAGCCACCACAUCUGUUAUGGGUACUCAAUGCAGUGGCUGCACCUGGGCCUCACUCAUUAAGCAGUUGUUGAUUGAGUGACUGAAUUGAAUGCCUGAUGAGCUCGCAAGUAAGAUUCAGACUGUGCCUGCAAACUAAUAGGAUCCCUCCGCUUUUUAUUCACUACUGCUGAGGUAGAUCUCAGGCCAGCCUGAAGUUUAGGUCUACUGAGAAAUAAUAAGCCUCAAAAAUCGAGCUUUGCUUCACCCAGUCUCCCAGUAAACACUAAGAAAUGUUCACAUUAUUUACACAUCCUAGACUGCCUGUCUUAUGGACCAAAUGUUUGUGUUCUCCCCGCAAUUUAUACAUUGGAAUCCUAACCCUCAAUGUAAUAGCAUUAGGUGCUGGGGUCUUUGGGAGGUGAUUGGCUAAUGGACCUGGAGCCCUCAUGAUGGGAUGAGUCCCCUUAUCAGAAGAGACCUGAGAAGGCUUGCUUCCUCUCCCUGUGCUCUUCAUGAUGUGAAGACACAAGAAGACAGCCAUCUGUGGGCCAGGAAGAGGUCCUCACUGGAACCCAACCAUGCUGGCACCCCAAUCUUGAAUUUCUAGCUUCAAGAACUUGGGAAAUAAAUGUAAGCCAGCCAGCUUAUGGAUUUGUUACAGCAGCCUAAGCUAAGUCAGAGUCUCUAGAACAGCUGGUCUGGGGCAGCGGUGAAGGGAGGUGGGUGGGCAUAUGACCCUGCCCUGCACAUGAAUGGCAAAGGCAACUGGAGAGCCUCUCCCUUUUGGUGAGAUCCCCAGUCCACAAGGGCAUGUUCAUCCAUAGCUUUACUUCCCGAAGCAAAUUCUGGUUCCUGGGGCCUGUGCCUCCAUAGAUGGCAUGAUCUGCAGCCUCCUGUGGUAAUUUACCCUCUUCCUAAAUUUCUGAGUCUUCACAUUUAAGCAAUCCUAGUUAGAUAUCCUCUACCUGUAUCCAUGGCUGUCUUUCAGUCACAUUACAGACUCAUUGUGAUGACCAUGUAGGGACAAUGUGAUUUCAGAAACAUGGCCUCAUUUGAUUUUAAUGUAAAUAUAAAUCAGUGAAGCAGAAAAAGAGAAUCUCCAGAAAAACAAGGGAUGAGGCUGUACAGCAAGUUAAAGUGGAAUCAGAACCCAACUGUAGUCCAUUAUUUGUUUCAAUCCUGCUCUUUUCUACCAUAUCACCCAGUUUCCAAAUCGUUCAGCAAAUUGCCAUGGUCAAUGGGAUUAACCUUUCCCUUUUAUUCUCAGGAAAUCUCCCUUGUCCAUUUUGCAAGACUGUGUGAUUCUUUCUACUGUUACAAGGAAUAAAAGCCUUCCUAAAAAGGUCUUUGGUGCCUUUAUUAUUUUACGGAUCAUUUCUGAGGGAAUUAUUGAACUUCAUUAUGUAACCACCCCUUGGGUUCACCUUGCCCACUGCCUAGACAGAGCCAAUUUAUCCAGACAGGAGAAUUGCAAUGGAGAAAGAGUAAUUC